UACGUAGGUGGCAAGCGUUGUCCGGAAUUAUUGGGCGUAAAGCGCGCGCAGGCGGCCUUUUAAGUCUGAUGUGAAAGCCCCCGGCUCAACCGGGGAGGGUCAUUGGAAACUGGAAGGCUUGAGUACAGAAGAGAAGAGUGGAAUUCCAUGUGUAGCGGUGAAAUGCGUAGAGAUGUGGAGGAACACCAGUGGCGAAGGCGACUCUUUGGUCUGUAACAGACGCUGAGGAGCGAAAGCAUGGGGAGCGAACAGG
RNAcentral lists this ribosomal RNA (253 nucleotides) under uncultured bacterium. Its description in RNAcentral is "partial 16S ribosomal RNA". It matches the Rfam family "Bacterial small subunit ribosomal RNA", at positions 524 to 776 of the family's 1533-position model. The record is from RNAcentral.